GGGGGUGUAGCUCAAUGAUGGAGUACUUGUCAGGUAUUUGCAAGGCCCUGGGUUCGAUUCCCAGUACUGCCA
This 72-nucleotide transfer RNA is filed under the name Ictidomys tridecemlineatus (thirteen-lined ground squirrel). RNAcentral describes it as "Spermophilus tridecemlineatus (thirteen-lined ground squirrel) tRNA". It matches the Rfam family "tRNA". From Rfam's summary of the family: Transfer RNA (tRNA) molecules are approximately 80 nucleotides in length. Their secondary structure includes four short double-helical elements and three loops (D, anti-codon, and T loops). Lineage: Eukaryota; Metazoa; Chordata; Mammalia; Rodentia; Sciuridae. The record is from Rfam by way of RNAcentral.